This is a long non-coding RNA of Raphanus sativus (radish), 843 nucleotides long. RefSeq lists it as uncharacterized. NCBI's taxonomy places the organism in Eukaryota, Viridiplantae, Streptophyta, Magnoliopsida, Brassicales, Brassicaceae. The record is from RefSeq and is a predicted model, not a curated record. The transcript is spliced from 2 exons.
CUCAAACUAAUUUUUGUAUAAGAAAGUUUACCACAAAUAUUUUUAAAACAGAAAAAAAAAACAGAAUAAGAAAAUAAUUACAAAAGUGUGAUUGGUCAAAAAGUGACCACUAAGAUGCAAGUGCGAGGAUCACACUUCCUUUUAACCACAGCCAUCGAUUUAACAAAAUCUAAUGGCCAAGAAUGCACAAAGUGAAAAGUGUGUUUCUUCCUCUGUCUCCUCCUACCUUUCUUUCGUAUCCUCUGUCUAUGUAUCUCAUCUUCUUUUUUUUUUUGUAACUUAGGCUUUCAGUUGUAUCUCAUCUUCUUCUUCACCUUUAAUCAAAAUCACUCCAUAUACGAAAUCUGUCUCAACCACCAUCACCUUAACUUUCGCCUCUGCCACCAUCAUCUUCAUCUUCAUCUCAACGUUCACUACCUCCGCCAACGAAGCCGUCUCUACCACCAUCACCAUAACCUCCGCCGCUGUCACCAUCAUCUUCAUCUCCAUCUCCUCAUGCAAGUUCACGAAGAAGAUGAAGACAUAUUGUGAAGGAAGAGGCAGAAGAUGAUAACGGAAAGGAAGUAAAAGAAAUUUGAUGGCGAAGGACGCUUGCCGAGCAGAUCGAACAGUGGCUCCAGCACCAGAUCUAGUCCUCGCUUCAGCCAUAGCACCUAGAGCAGGUGGAGGUGUAGAGGAUGAUGGAGGUGUCGGUGGAGAAGCUGGUGGCGGAAGCAGUGGUGGAGCCGGAACGGUUGGUCGGAGCCGGUGGAAGCCGAUAAUCUAUAUAUUUUUGUAUUUAUGUAUGUAUGUGCUUGUAAAUAUAUGUAAUUUACAGUAUAUAUAAAUUUAGUUUUUUCUAAA